Cyprinus carpio (common carp) is the source of this 2084-nucleotide long non-coding RNA. RefSeq lists it as uncharacterized. The record is from RefSeq and is a predicted model, not a curated record. The transcript is spliced from 2 exons. Lineage: Eukaryota; Metazoa; Chordata; Actinopteri; Cypriniformes; Cyprinidae.
UCCCCCAUUGAAGUCCAUUAUAAGGAAACAGCUUAAAGUGGACGCAUCGACGAACUGAGAACAUUGUCAUUUUGUUCAGUUUAAUUUUGUAAUAAGCAUGAAAGUAAAGACAGGUACAGGUUUCUCCUGUCUCAGCUCAUUAUCUCUAAUGAUCACGCCCUCGCUCGCUAGUCAUAUGAUAAUGAUCUACGCGAGCCAUGCGAACAACGCCCCCAAACAAUGGGACAACAACGCGUUCAUUGUCAAGUUUAUCGAUUUGUCUGCACUUUUAGAUUAUAACACGUUAAGCUGUUUCCUUAUAAUGGACUUCUAUGGGGAAGAACUCUUAACGUGAUAUAACGUGAUUUUUAGUGUGUUUGUUCAAGCAAUUAUUCAUUCUUUUAUAUGUGGUCAGGUCUGCAGGCAGAUGUUCUUACAGCUGUGGCUGAGGAGAUCCUCCUGAAUCUGCCUGCUCUGCUUGUGGUGUGUAAUGAGUGGAAGGAGCUGGUGGACAGUGCUGCACACUGGAGAGAGAGGAUCCAGCCACAUAAUACAUCCAGACCACCAGGGAACUGGCUCCUGUUUUCUAAACUAAGAAUUGACGCAACUUGUUCAAGAAUCCCAGAGCAGAAGGUAGGUGAGCCACAUAAUUAAGCUUACACAGCCAUGAUAAGUGAGUACAUACUGUGUAAACAAGUGAACUAAUGCAUCAACCAGUGUUCUUAUGAACUUCAAGGCUGGAAUAUUAUACAGAAUGGAGAUAAUUGCUGGGCUGCACAUGAAAACAGACGUAAAUUUCUGGAUAACAAGGUCACCAAAUGUUUUGUGCCAUCUUAUGUGUACACUUGAUAUUUUAGAUCCUUCAGGAAGGUUUUGAGCCCAUUUCAUUUCAGUCGAUAUUACAGUAUGAAAAUAAAUUAAUCAUCAAGCCAAUCCACAUAUGAAUCACCCAUAAACCUUGUUCCUCAGGUUGCGUUUGAAGCAACAGCUGAUCGAUUUGAAGAAAGAAGGCUACAGCGCUGCUUUCAUGGAUCAACUGCAACCUCAAAUAAAAAAAUCAGAGCAUUCACUCAAACUCUCAUUUCGUGCUGCAGUACCCUUUUUUAUUUUUAUUUUUUUUUUGUGAAUGACCUGUCCACCUGGGUCACAUGCACCUUGUGCUCACUCUGUUAUAUAUUCAUAUUUAAAUAUUACAUUUAUGCUAUGGGAGAUUGUUGUUCAUUUUACUGGACAAAUCUGCAAAUAUGGUAUGUGAUUUUAUGCACAAGACAGAAAUUGAAUGUCAUUAAGAACACAGUAGCCUAAUCAGUGUUAGCUACAAAUCAUGUUCUCACAUGAAAAUACAUUCACCCCAUGCUGUAAUUACUGUAAUUAUGAGAUUCCAACUUGUAAAACAUCCUUGUAGAACUCAUAAUUACAAUUUGUAAACUGGGAAUUUCUGAGAGCCACAAUUACUGUACAAAUGACCUGACUGCCACAAAUUCUUUUAGGCACUAUAUGUUGAUAGUUUUGCCAUACACAUAAUUCAGAGUCUGAGUACAUGACCAGCUCUGAAUGGCAUAUUGUCAUCUUAAAAGUACAGUAAUUACAUGAGGUGAACGUGGAAACAAUUUGACGUCUCUGCUGGUGCAGGUAUACUGUACACUUUGAUUGUGGAAGUGAGUAUCAGAUCAGUGUAAAGUUGCUUGAUCAGAAGAAAAACCCCAUCAGUUUCUUUCAGCCUGAGAAAGUUUUUUCCCAACAGUGGAACAAUGAGAGGUGGUGUCAACUGUCAAGUGAGUAGAACAAUACUGACAGUCCAGUUAUUCCUCUGUAAUCAAACUAAUAGUCAAAGCUUAACUGUCUCUGUUCUGCUUUAUUUCAGAUGUCACAUGUCUUUAAGGAUUAUGGACCUGGGGUUCGGUUUAUCCAUUUCACUUGCGGAGGGAAGGAGAGAUUAGUCAUGUAUAUUAUAUUUUAUAUUAUUCAAGGUUUUUAAUGUCACAUGAUGAUAUUGUGAAACAGUAUUUUUCAUUUGCUAUAAUAAGACUUUGUGCUGGUCAGUGGAAGUCUGAGCAUUGAAAUGUACACAACUAAGAUUAUUCAAUAAACCAUUUAUUUAUUUA